Long non-coding RNA from Nyctereutes procyonoides (raccoon dog), 962 nucleotides. RefSeq lists it as uncharacterized. Lineage: Eukaryota; Metazoa; Chordata; Mammalia; Carnivora; Canidae. The transcript is spliced from 3 exons. The record is from RefSeq and is a predicted model, not a curated record.
UGUUUGUUUGUUUGUUUGUUUUUAAAGAUUUUAUUCAUUCAUUCAUAGAGACACAUAGAGAUAGAGAGGCAGAGACACAAGCAGAGGGAGCCUGAUGUGGGACUCGAUCCUGGGUCUCCAGGAUCACACCCUGGGCUGCAGGUGGCGCUAAACCGCUGCGCCACCAGGGCUGCCCAAGCCUGGUGUUUGAUAGGAGAAUUUCUGGCCAAUGAAAAGGGCAGACACCUCCCUGCCAAGCCUGAAAAGUUGCUCCUCUUGCUAGGUUGCUGUGCUGGAUACUAUCUGCUGGCUCAGUGGCAAAUCCUGCCCUAAACACACUUCCCAGAGGAUCUCACGGCAUGUUCUCAAUAUGACAGAGAUUCUGCUAAUGAGAUUCACUCACAAGACUCGGAAGGAAGAAGGGAGGCAGAGGCCAUCUUUCUGGGCUGUGGAGCAUGAGAAGCAAUCUCUUAUGGCACAAGCAUGGUGGCCAGACUCUCUAUUCCACUGUCCAGCCACCAACUCUAGGAGACUGGGACAGUUGAACAGCAGCAUUUGUGGUGGCAGAGACAGGACCAGCUUCCUGAACACUCACUGCAGCUAAAGAGGUGCUUAAGGACCACCGUCCCCAUGAUUCACUUCUGUCUGGCGCACGUGGCAUAUCAUCUGCACUGCUGGCUGCCGAGAUCACGCAGGCUCAGGCUGUUUUACUGUGCUGCUUACGCAGAUGGAACCAGUCCCGCAAGCACUAAAGAGGAUAUUUGCUGUAUUUGGUGUGGGAUCCUUUGGUGAAGGAGUCUGUACCAUGGUGUUAACAGUUUUGGCAACUGACUGUGUGUGUUGUUAAAUAAUGAAAUUUCUCAACGGCUCAUCUUACUCUGAAACUGUGUCUGUAUAUAAUACAUCAUCAAUCUUCAAUAUUUAUUUUCUCCUCACACUAAAAAUAGAGAUAUGUAGAGACAAAAUUCCCUUUAUUUUUAAUA